This 544-nucleotide ribosomal RNA is filed under the name uncultured Prochlorococcus sp. RNAcentral describes it as "bacterial SSU rRNA". It matches the Rfam family "Bacterial small subunit ribosomal RNA", at positions 62 to 653 of the family's 1533-position model. Lineage: Bacteria; Bacillati; Cyanobacteriota; Cyanophyceae; Synechococcales; Prochlorococcaceae. The record is from RNAcentral.
UCGAACGAACCUUCGGGUUAGUGGCGGACGGGUGAGUAACGCGUGGGAAUCUGCCCUCAGGAGGGGGAUAACGGUUGGAAACGACCGCUAAUACCCCAUAUGCCGAGAGGUGAAAUGAAUUUCGCCUGAGGAUGAGCCCGCGUCUGAUUAGCUUGUUGGUGAGGUAAUGGCUCACCAAGGCUUCGAUCAGUAGCUGGUCUGAGAGGAUGAUCAGCCACACUGGGACUGAGACACGGCCCAGACUCCUACGGGAGGCAGCAGUGGGGAAUUUUCCGCAAUGGGCGAAAGCCUGACGGAGCAACGCCGCGUGAGGGACGAAGGCCUCUGGGCUGUAAACCUCUUUUCUCAAGGAAGAAGAUAUGACGGUACUUGAGGAAUAAGCCACGGCUAAUUCCGUGCCAGCAGCCGCGGUAAUACGGGAGUGGCAAGCGUUAUCCGGAAUUAUUGGGCGUAAAGCGUCCGCAGGCGGCCUUUCAAGUCUGCUGUUAAAACGUGGAGCUUAACUCCAUCAUGGCAGUGGAAACUGAUAGGCUUGAGUAUGGUA